RNAcentral lists this ribosomal RNA (469 nucleotides) under uncultured bacterium. RNAcentral's name for it is "partial 16S ribosomal RNA". It matches the Rfam family "Bacterial small subunit ribosomal RNA", at positions 28 to 507 of the family's 1533-position model. The record is from RNAcentral.
GACGAACGCUGGCGGCGUGCUUAACACAUGCAAGUCGAACGGAAAGGCCCUGCUUGCAGGGUGCUCGAGUGGCGAACGGGUGAGUAACACGUGGGUGAGCUGCCCCUUACUGUGGGAUAAGCCUGGGAAACUGGGUCUAAUACUGGAUAGGACCAUGCUGUAGGUGGUGUGGUGGAAAGAUUAGUUUCGGUAAGGGAUGAGCUCGCGGCCUAUCAGCUUGUUGGUGGGGUAAUGGCCUACCAAGGCGUCGACGGGUAGCCGGCCUGAGAGGGUGGACGGCCACAUUGGGACUGAGAUACGGCGCAGACUCCUACGGGAGGCAGCAGUGGGGAAUAUUGCACAAUGGGCGCAAGCCUGAUGCAGCGACGCCGCGUGGGGGAUGACGGCAUUCGGGUUGUAAACUUCUUACAGCCAUGACGAAGCCCUUGUGGUGACGGUAGUGGUAGAAGAAGCACCGGCUAAAUACGUG